Molecule: ribosomal RNA, 261 nt
Filed under: uncultured archaeon
Lineage: Archaea
Description: partial 16S ribosomal RNA
Rfam family: Archaeal small subunit ribosomal RNA
Source: RNAcentral
CAGCCGUAAACUAUGCGCGUUAGGUGUACUGGUGACCACGCGUUACUGAUGCGCCGAAGAGAAAUCGUGAAACGCACCACCUGGGAAGUACGGUCGCAAGGCUGAAACUUAAAGGAAUUGGCGGGGGAGCACCACAACAGGUGGAGCCUGCGGUUUAAUUGGAUUCAACGCCGGACAUCUCACCGGAUAAGACAGCUGAAUGAUUGUCAAUCUGAAGGUUUUACAUGACUAGCUGAGAGGUGGUGCAUGGCGUCAGUGACU